GAUGAAGAACGUAGCGAAAUGCGAUAAGUAAUGUGAAUUGUAGAAUUCAGUGAAUCAUCGAAUCUUUGAACGCACAUUGCGCCCCUUGGUAUUCCGGGGGGCAUGCCUGUUCGAGCGUCAUUAUAACCCCUCAAGCUCAGCUUGGUGUUGGGGCCUGCCGACUGGCAGCCCUUAAAAUCAGUGGCGGCGCCAUCUGGCUCUAAGCGUAGUAAUUUCUCUCGCUAUAGAGUCCCGGUGGAUGCUUGCCAGCAACCCCCAACUUUCUAUGGUUGACCUCGGAUCAGGUAGGGAUACCCGCUGAACUUAAGCAUAUCAAUAAGCGGAGGA
This 327-nucleotide unclassified non-coding RNA is filed under the name soil metagenome. Its description in RNAcentral is "partial contains 5.8S ribosomal RNA, internal transcribed spacer 2, and large subunit ribosomal RNA". The stretch from base 1 to 120 matches the Rfam family "5.8S ribosomal RNA", at positions 35 to 154 of the family's 154-position model. The record is from RNAcentral.